UUAUGUGGGGAAGGCAGCCACAGGCGCACCCAGAAACCCUUUGUGAACUUAUACCUUACUGUUGCCUCGGCGCAUGCUGGCCCCCUCGGGGUCCCUCGGAGACGAGGAGCAGGCACGCCGGCGGCCAAGUUAACUCUUGUUUUUACACUGAAACUCUGAGAAAAAACACAAAUGAAUCAAAACUUUCAACAACGGAUCUCUUGGUUCUGGCAUCGAUGAAGAACGCAGCGAAAUGCGAUAAGUAAUGUGAAUUGCAGAAUUCAGUGAAUCAUCGAAUCUUUGAACGCACAUUGCGCCCUCUGGUAUUCCGGAGGGCAUGCCUGUUCGAGCGUCAUUUCAACCCUCAAGCAUUGCUUGGUGUUGGGGCACUGCCUGUAAAAGGGCAGGCCCUGAAAUCUAGUGGCGAGCUCGCCAGGACCCCGAGCGCAGUAGUUAAACCCUCGCUCUGGAAGGCCCUGGCGGUGCCCUGCCGUUAAACCCCCAACUUUUGAAAAUUUGACCUCGGAUCAGGUAGGAAUACCCGCUGAACUUAAGCAUAUCAAUAAGCCGGAGGAAGA
RNAcentral lists this ribosomal RNA (557 nucleotides) under Phomopsis sp. EF7. RNAcentral describes it as "eukaryotic LSU rRNA". The stretch from base 181 to 334 matches the Rfam family "5.8S ribosomal RNA". The record is from RNAcentral. Lineage: Eukaryota; Fungi; Ascomycota; Sordariomycetes; Diaporthales; Diaporthaceae.